GACGAACGCUGGCGGCGUGCUUAACACAUGCAAGUCGAACGGAAAGGCCCUGCUUUUGUGGGGUGCUCGAGUGGCGAACGGGUGAGUAACACGUGAGUAACCUGCCCUUGACUUUGGGAUAACUUCAGGAAACUGGGGCUAAUACCGGAUAGGAGCUCCUGCUGCAUGGUGGGGGUUGGAAAGUUUCGGCGGUUGGGGAUGGACUCGCGGCUUAUCAGCUUGUUGGUGGGGUAGUGGCUUACCAAGGCUUUGACGGGUAGCCGGCCUGAGAGGGUGACCGGCCACAUUGGGACUGAGAUACGGCCCACACUCCUACGGGAGGCAGCAGUGGGGAAUAUUGCACAGUGGGCGGAAACCUGAUGCAUCAACGCCGCGUGCGGGAUGACGGCCUUCGGGUUGUAAACCGCUUUCGCCUGUGACGAAUCGUGAGUGACGGUAAUGGGUAAAGAAGCACCGGCUAACUACGUGCCACCAGCCUCGGUGAUACGUAAGGUGCGAGCGUUGUCCGGAUUUAUUGGGCGUAAAGGGCUCGUAGGUGGUUGAUCGCGUCAGAAGUGUAAUCUUGGGGCUUAACCCUGAGCGUGCUUUCGAUACGGGUUGACUUGAGGAAGGUAGGGGAGAAUGGAAUUCCUGGUGGAGCGGUGGAAUGCGCAGAUAUCAGGAGGAACACCAGUGGCGAAGGCGGUUCUCUGGGCCUUUCCUGACGCUGAGGAGCGAAAGCGUGGGGAGCGAACAGCCUUAGAUACCCUGGUAGUCCACGCUGUAAACGGUGGGUACUAGGUGUGGGGUCCAUUCCACGGGUUCCGUGCCGUAGCCUAACGCUUUAAGUACCCCGCCUGGGGAGUACGGCCGCAAGGCUAAAACUCAAAGGAAUUGACGGGGCCCCGCACAGCCGGCGGAGCAUGCGGAUUAAUUCGAUGCAACGCGUAGAACCUUACCUGGGUUUGACAUGGAUCGGGAGUGCUCAGAGAUGGGUGUGCCUCUUUCGGGGUCGGUUCACAGGUGGUGCAUGGCUGUCGUCAGCUCGUGUCGUGAGAUGUUGGGUUAAGUCCCGCAACGAGCGCAACCCUUGUUCACUGUUGCCAGCACGUUAUGGUGGGGACUCAGUGGAGACCGCCGGGGUCAACUCGGAGGAAGGUGGGGAUGACGUCAAGUCAUCAUGCCCCUUAUGUCCAGGGCUUCACGCAUGCUACAAUGGCUGGUACAGAGAGUGGCGAGCCUGUGAGGGUGAGCGAAUCUCGGAAAGCCGGUCUCAGUUCGGAUUGGGGUCUGCAACUCGACCUCAUGAAGUCGGAGUCGCUAGUAAUCGCAGAUCAGCAACGCUGCGGUGAAUACGUUCCCGGG
This 1344-nucleotide ribosomal RNA is filed under the name uncultured bacterium. Its description in RNAcentral is "16S ribosomal RNA". It matches the Rfam family "Bacterial small subunit ribosomal RNA", at positions 28 to 1378 of the family's 1533-position model. The record is from RNAcentral.